UACAAUCUUGUAGUCUCCACGAGAGCCGAUCGUCCGAUCCUCAGUCACCAUAACAACCGCUCUACCCCUCAAAACAAAAAGAGAAUUAAAAAAAAAAAAAAAAAAAAAAAAAAAAAAAAAAAAAAAAAAAAAAAAAAAAAAAAAAAAAAAAGAAGAAAAAACUCUCCCUCAAAAUACAGGCGCUGGCCGCCGAUGAUGCCGCCGGAAAGUUGACCUUGCCAUUCCUGGUAUCUUCGUCAAUUUCCAAACUGUAGGUAAAAAAAGUUAUGGGCAUUUUGUGGCUGUCAAAUUCGUUGAAGUAAAAAGCUGCAGAAUGUGUCAUUCUAUUUGAGAUGAAGGAGUAUUAAUUUCGUUCAGGCGUCCAGUCAGUGGAACAAUUGAAAUUCUGUCUGAAUGGCUUGGAUUAUUUACUCUUAAAGAUAAUAUGUUUUUGGUUUUGCUUAAUACUUGUACUCAGUGGUGAAAGUAGUAGUGUUGCUUUAGUUUUCCACUUUAAGCUCUAGUCCAUUUCUUAAAGCUGAAAUUGUCUUAGAGAUCAAUUUUAAUCCAUUUCUCAGUAACAAAAAUGUUGAUGAGAUACUAUGAUUUUGCUGAUAUCUUCUUUGUGAUGCGUCUCAUACUUAGAGGCUGUUUAGUUAAGCUUAUAAGCUGGUCAAACUAGCUUAUAACCACUUUUCGGCUUAUUUACGCGUUUGGUAAAGUUUAAAAAGCUUAUAAGUCAAGUGCUUAUAAGUCAUAAAUAAGUUAAAAGCCAUAAGCUGGUUACCCCCAACUUAUGAAUUUUUAGCUUAUAAGCACUUUAAGUUUGACCAAGAUUUUUACUAUUUUAUCCCUAAAAUAUUCCUUUUUAAAACAAAACUCCUACUACAUCGAUAUUCACUGUCUCAUAUUUCUUCAAACCUAAAUCCUCCGUCUCUUCAAGUCUGCAAUUCUCGUUGACAAUAUUUGAGGUAAGGAAAUUCUCUAUUCCUUUGCAUAUUUUGUAUCUAUGUGAUUGUGUAUUAAUCUUUGAACUGUAAGUAAUAAACAAGGACAUAUCAAUUUUUUGGUGUAUUGCUUUUUAAGUGUUGUAUUAAUCUCAAUGGACACUGGUGAUGAAGACAAGAGAUAAAUUAUUAUUAUUAUUAUUAUUAUAUAGCUUAUGAUUAUAUACUUAUCAAUAAAAUUAUACAUAUCAUAAAUUUAUCUUAUCUAAUCACAUUUGUAUUUAAAGUAAAAUAACAAAUAUAUUAUUUUGUAUUUGAAUCGAUCUAGAAUCUAAAAUUUUGAAGAAAUUACGCCCUUAUAGUGUAAACACUUCUAAGGUUAUUUAAGUCAUUUUAACAGAAAAAGAGAUUAUCAGCACUUUUUUACCAAACACUGCAGCAGCUUAUUACCAAACGCAUAACUACUUAUUUAUUAAAUCAGUUUCAGCACAUAAAAGUAUUUUUCAGCACCUAAUGCUUAUCAGCUACUUUAAAUCAGCUAAUCCAAACGGGCUCUUAGUCUUUGCAUCAAGUUAUAUAUAGUUUAUUUUGUUGGUUAAUGCUGAGAAAUUCUUGUCACACCGUCGUGAUAUCCCUC
Molecule: non-coding RNA, 1563 nt
Organism: Nicotiana tabacum (common tobacco)
Lineage: Eukaryota; Viridiplantae; Streptophyta; Magnoliopsida; Solanales; Solanaceae
Source: RefSeq, a predicted model, not a curated record